RNAcentral lists this ribosomal RNA (497 nucleotides) under uncultured bacterium. Its description in RNAcentral is "partial 16S ribosomal RNA". It matches the Rfam family "Bacterial small subunit ribosomal RNA", at positions 28 to 507 of the family's 1533-position model. The record is from RNAcentral.
GAUGAACGCUGGCGGCGUGCCUAAUACAUGCAAGUCGAGCGAACGGACGAGAAGCUUGCUUCUCUGAUGUUAGCGGCGGACGGGUGAGUAACACGUGGAUAACCUACCUAUAAGACUGGGAUAACUUCGGGAAACCGGAGCUAAUACCGGAUAAUAUUUUGAACCGCAUGGUUCAAAAGUGAAAGACGGUCUUGCUGUCACUUAUAGAUGGAUCCGCGCUGCAUUAGCUAGUUGGUAAGGUAACGGCUUACCAAGGCAACGAUGCAUAGCCGAACUGAGAGAGUCAUCGGGCACACUGGCACUGAGAGACGGUCCAGACUCCUACGGGUGGCAGCAGUAGGCAAUCUUCCGCAAUGGCCACAAGCCUUACGGAGCAACGCCGCGUGAUUGAUGAAGGUCUUCGUAUCGUACAGCUCUGUUAUUAGGUAAGAACAUAUGUGUAAGUACCUGUGCACAUCUUGACGGUACCUAAUCAGAAAGCCACGGCUAACUACGUG